UGUCCAGAUCCGAUCUAACACGAACAAUAGAAAUUAAUAGUACAAUUUACUGUUAUUAUUAAUUCGGCGCCAUGAUAAUGGGUAGUAUCGAGUGCUAUUAAUUAAUUGAAUUAUCGCGUUAGUUUUCGUAGAUUAGUAAAGACUUAUCCAAUAUCGUAUUGUGCAACCAUCUAUGUGAAUUUGAACAGUGAUAGGAACGAAAGUUGUACUUAGAAUUAGGAUUACGACUAGAGUGGAGUUUAAACGAAACGAAGAUUACGCAAACCCUGGACUUCAUACUAUGUGGUUGGGCAACGAUUGUUGCAGAUUUUAAUCUACUCCAGCUGAAGUAGCAGUGCCUAUAUUAUCAAUUGAAAAGGUAUAAUUUGGGAACAUUACACAAACUCAGUUGUUGGACAGUGAGACUGUAGUAAGAGAUCAUCAGAAAGCACUACAGUUCUUUUCAUCCCUUAGGAACAGGUGCAACGAGAACUUUUGCCACAAAAAGUUCUAGUGUCCCACCCGCAAAAGAGAAUGAGCCAUUUCCCAAUAGAAAACUUCAAGAUUACCACGACAUCGAGAGUAAGGAAAAUAGGUAUGGUCAAAAUUCAGUCCAUUAAUUUCAUCCCAACAAUGACAAAAGGACCAUAAAGAAAAUACUUUGUAAAGCUAAUGAAGUCAUGCAUAUUCGAGCUAAAUAGAGAUGUGGAGUUCAGACUCAGCAGAUAAUACCAGAACUACCAGAACAUCGAGAGGGGUGAGAUAUAGUCACAGUCGAGUCCCUUAAUCCCAGUUUAACCAAGGCACGAGUAACAUUAAGUAAUUAAUGCGAACUAUCCACUGUAAAAACAUCUCGGUGAUGGCCAGGAAACCCUAUGGUGUUUGUAAUCAAUUAUAACAGCAAGACCAUCGAGGACCUUAAGGACUACUAGGGUAUCAAGAAGAGACGAGACGUGGUCGAAGCCCAUUUGAGUCUAUCCAGCAAAGCUAAGGCAAGGAAUAUGAA
Molecule: long non-coding RNA, 985 nt
Organism: Agrilus planipennis (emerald ash borer)
Lineage: Eukaryota; Metazoa; Arthropoda; Insecta; Coleoptera; Buprestidae
Exons: 6
Source: RefSeq, a predicted model, not a curated record